GGGUUGUGAGGUUAAGCGACUAAGCGUACACGGUGGAUGCCCUGGCAGUCAGAGGCGAUGAAGGACGUGCUAAUCUGCGAUAAGCGCCGGUAAGGUGAUAUGAACCGUUAUAACCGGCGAUUUCCUUAGUGGAAGCGUCUGGAAAGGCGCGCGAUACAGGGUGACAGCCCCGUACACAAAAGCGCAUGUGCUGUGAGCUCGAUGAGUAGGGCGGGACACGUGGUAUCCUGUCUGAAUAUGGGGGGACCAUCCUCCAAGGCUAAAUACUCCUGACUGACCGAUAGUGAACCAGUACCGUGAGGGAAAGGCGAAAAGAACCCCGGCGAGGGGAGUGAAAAAGAACCUGAAACCGUGUACGUACAAGCAGUGGGAGCACAGGUUUACCUGUGUGACUGCGUACCUUUUGUAUAAUGGGUCAGCGACUUAUAUUCUGUAGCAAGGUUAACCGAAUAGGGGAGCCGGAGGGAAACCGAGUCUUAAYYGGGCGUUAAGUUGCAGGGUAUAGACCCGAAACCCGGUGAUCUAGCCAUGGGCAGGUUGAAGGUUGGGUAACACUAACUGGAGGACCGAACCGACUAAUGUUGAAAAAUUAGCGGAUGACCUGUGGCUGGGGGUGAAAGGCCAAUCAAACCGGGAGAUAGCUGGUUCUCCCCGAAAGCUAUUUAGGUAGCGCCUCGUGAAUUCAUCUCCGGGGGUAGAGCACUGUUUCGGCUAGG
This 716-nucleotide ribosomal RNA is filed under the name Salmonella enterica subsp. enterica serovar Infantis. RNAcentral describes it as "partial 23S ribosomal RNA". The record is from RNAcentral. Lineage: Bacteria; Pseudomonadati; Pseudomonadota; Gammaproteobacteria; Enterobacterales; Enterobacteriaceae.